UUUUUUUUUUUUUUUUUUUGCCUUUUCUAGGGCCACUCCCUCAGCACAUGGAGGUUCCCAGUCUAGGGGUCUAAUCGAUGCUGUAGCCACUGGCCUAGGCCUCAGCCACCACAAUGUGGGACCUGAGCCUUGUCUGCAGCCCACGGCAACACCAGAUCCUUAACCCACUGAGUGAGGCCAGGGAUCAAACCCGCAACCUCAUGGUUCCUAGUCGGAUUCGUUAACCACUGAGCCACGACGGGAACUCCUGCAGAGCCUCUUUGUACUUAACCUUGGAAGUCACACACAUCACUUCAGACACAUUCAAUUCAUCACUAGAAAGUUAUUGGCCAGUCCGAUUCAAAGGAGAGGAAUUAGACACCUACUGCUUGAUGGAUGGGGAGAUGAUAAGGUCAUCCUGUAGAAGAGCUUGUGAGACAUGCAAUAUGUCUUUGGAAUGUGCCAUCUGCCAUUGUCUUUGGAAUGUGCCAUCUGCCAUAACCAGUUUGGACCUCAGUGUGAAGUUAGACAAAGUUGCCUCUCCACUCCUACAGACCUAGUCCCAUGACUCUCCUCCUGUUUGUUGCCUUUACCCUCAAAUUCUUCCACAACCCAGAUUCUACUUUUCUCUAACAUCCCUUACAGAACUUCACUAUUUUGAGUCCCACUUUCCUCCUGACCCCAUUAGAUAACUGGAGGCAGCACUUGGCAGUGGAAAGAGCGCUGAAUGAAAAGUCACCUCCCAAUGCUUCUACCAGUGAUCCAGGUUCUCCUAGGCAACUCACCACAACUGCAGUUUUCUCAUUUACAUGAUACAGGCAUGUGGGUUUGGGGGAUAAGAUAAAACCAUCUUCAACAUCAAUUCUAAUCAUUCCUAAAUCUAAUAUGAGUUCAGGAGUAAACGGAUAACCACAAAAGAUCGCUAUUUAACCCUGCUAAAAAUAUUUAGUUAUAUCGUUCUUCAACAAUUUUGAGUAAAUACGGAAGAGAGGAGUUCAAAUGUCCUUUGGCAGCCACAAAUAGGUAAAAAGCUAGCAAAAAUAUGAAGAAUGCCACUGAAAUGACCAUGAAUGGUUUGUUGCAAAUACAUAAUCUAAGGGAUGUAUUCUAAGUUCCUCCAGUAAUGUGAUAGUUCACUGAACAUUAGCAUGGUUGUGAAGGGGAGACUCUACUGGAAGCAGUGACCCAGGGGUGCAUGUUCUUUCCAUUUUGUGGUUAUACAGUAGUUAUACCAUCUGGACAUGUGACCAUGGAGGAAGACAGAAGAAUGGAGAGGGUGGGGACCACACAGGCAUAUUUAUGUGCAACUCAGAAGUAGAGCACAUCACUCCUUCCCACAUCUUAUUGGCCAGAUUGCUGUCACAGGGUCUGAACCAACCCGUGAGAGAGUCUGGGAAAUGUAGUCUUCCUUUGUGCCUAGAAAAAAAGAAAUGGAUUGGCAAACAUCUAACACAUGACAGGACCACUUACAAAGGAGAUGUACUUUGUUUCCACCUUACACCAUUUGCUGCUUGGGGCCAUUUAAAGAGCUAUUCAUUGUCCAACCAAUUGGAUUCCAUAACCCAGAUCUCUCUUUGGUGGUUGAAAUAGCCAGAACAUGGUGUAUAAAAGCACAUACACACAUUCUCUCUCUCUCUCAUUGCUAGCAGCAAAUGUGCUAACAGCAUAGUUGAUUUGGGUCUAUUAAUAAUGGAUCCUCAUAAUAAGCAUAGCUCUGUGUCAGACACCAGGCUGUGUGUUUUACUUUCGUGCAUUAUCUCAAUUGAUCUUCACAGAAUUGUGUGAGGCAGUCAUUCAUUAUUAUUCUCAUUUUACAGAUGAGGAAAUGAAACUCAAGUGAGAUAAUUUGCUCAAAGUCAUCCCAUGACAAAGUGGCAAGGUCGGGACCCAUAUCUGAGUCCAUCUGGUUCUCGAACCAGUGCUCUUAACUGCUAUGCUGUACUGACCUCCCAUGUGUAAAGACACUGCCAGAGUGAGGAGGAAGGAGAUCCCAUGGGGAAGGAACUUCAGGCUUUUCUCAUCUUAUAGGCACAGUAGUUCUAAGUGUGACUUUCUGACCCUCCCAAGAGUUUUGCAUACAUGACCUGGACGGAUGCUGCACACAGUCCAGCUUUAUGUUGCACCACAGGAUGACGUUCCCACUGCUCUGCUCUGUCUCAAAGCCCGCUCCAUUUUCCACCCUGGCACAGGGAAUGAUCCCAGUGUGGAGCUUGGCUAUAAAACUCAGCCUGCACCACACUUGCUCACACUUGAUAUAUUGCCAUAUGCUAUCUUAAAAUGCUUGUAUGUGCAGCUUAAUCUUUGCACCUACAGGGGAAACGAGACCAAAGCCGUGCCUUUCCCCCAGCACCUAGUGCUGUACAAGGCACAGCAGAGGUGUCCGAGAAACACAUGCUGAUAUAGAGUGAGCAGCCAUGACGUCACCUCUGUACCUCAGUUUCCUCCUUUAUAACAUUAAGGGCUUUGGCAGGAGAAUAUCUAAGGGCUCAUCCAGCUCUAUGAUUCUACAUAUUGCUAGGCAUUCCUCUUCAAGGGCAUCCUGUUCAAAAACUUCAUAAAUUUUUCCUGCAAAGCCAAAGUCACUGAAUGGUCACAGGGCAAGGAUAGUCACAUAUUCACUAACUAACUAACCUUUCCAAACACAUGUGAUUAUAACUGAGUUUCCAUAAAGAAAAUUGCCUUUUAAAGUGACAGGAAGCCAUUAUUGUAAAAUGACUAAUAAUGCAGCAAAGAGCCGUAACGUGAUUCUUGCCCAAGUCAUUAAUCAAUUGAUGCAUUUUAACAAGGAGCUUCCUUAUGCAUUCGCUAGUCAUUUAUUCAAAUCAAGUAAAUAUUGUCCACAUUGUCCACUGAGAAAGAACAGGAUGAUUUAUUAAGGAAUUGAGAAGACCACAUUUCUUGGAGAAAUUUUACAAUGAAGGAUUCUUUCAAUAAAGUGUUUUCAAGGAGUCAGAUGGCCCUAUGGGCUAUGCAAUGUGUUUGCAUAUCUUGGAGCCUCAUCGAAUUCUGUCUAGCAGCCUAAUGCAGUGAGGUUUAAGGCUACUCCCCUUGCCUCCUGGAUCAGUUGCUCUCACACUUGAGGACAAUACCAUUCAAGAGGCAAUAGCUUGGUAACAAAGACCCUGAUAGCCAUUUGUACUUUUAAGUCAAUGGCUUGCCUCCCUUCCUGGUUUAUCAAAUACGUAGGUACUUUGCAAACCAAAAGCUUCGAACUUAGAUGGGUUUCGUUGGAACCUGGCAGCAUCUCCUAGCAGGAUUUGUCAGCUCUAUUCCAUAGCUAUUAUCACUUCCACAAGGAGAGGACAGAGGCAAGAUAGUUCUAGGACCUGCAACCAAGGACUUUUUCCUGUUUAGAAGGAAAUGCUCAAAACAACCUCAAAUGUGAAGCUACUGGAAAACUAUAGAUGAUGAUCCACUUACCACUAACCAGGAUAUGAUAACAUUGAAGGUCAGAGCAGUCAAUAGGUGCCAAGUUAGGGCAAAAUUUAGACCAGAAUAUAUCUACCCAAUGGCAAAGUAUCUCGUAAAUUCAAGUAAUUUUUUUAAAGCAUAUCCUUUAAAUUUAGGUAAGGAUAUAGAUAUAUAGAGAGUGAUUUUUUUUUCCUUUCAUAUGGGCUGUUGAAACAUCCUAGAAACACUACCUGGGACUUUUCCCAGGAGUUUUGUGAUCUGAUUUUUGCCAACUGGCCUCAAACACAUCUGUACACACACUCAGAGACACGUACGCCAAUACAGAGUUAGCAAGCUUCUUCACUUUUUACUGUGGCCCCCAGACACUUAGAGGAUUCCCUGUCCCCCAGAAAGAACAUUGCCAAGGCUCCUGCAAGUGUGGAAGAGUGUACUCCUUCCUUCCAAAGAAAUGAUGGAAUUAAAAGGGAGGCUCAAAAUCCGAAGCAAAAAAGGGAGGCUCUGUGUGGGCAACAUCUUAAGCCACCUCACCUUGCAUUUUUAUCAUAUAUAAGGGUCCAUUCGGAGCUGUAGCCACCAGCCUAUGCCACAGCCACAGCAACACUGGAUCUGAGCUGCAUCUGUGACCCACACCACAGCUCACAGCAACUCCGGAUUCUUAACUCACUGAGUAAGGCCAGGGAUCCGAAGUAAACAAAAACACUAAUUUGAAACACUAAUAUGUGCACCCCAGUGUUCACAGCAGCAUUAUUUACAAUAGCCAAGAUAUGGAAGCAAACGAAGUGUUCAUCAAGAGGAGAUUGGAUGAAGAAAACAUGGUAUGUAUACACAAUGGACUGUUGGCCAUAAAAAAAAGGAUGAAAUUCUGCCAUUUGAAAAAACAUGGAUGGGCCUAAAAGGUAUUAUGUUUAGUGAAAUAAGUCAGACAAAGGCAAAUACUCUAUCACUUAUAUGUAGAAUCUAAAAUUUAAAAAAAAGGCAAACAAAUGCAUAUAACAAAACAGAAACAGACUCACAUGUCUAGGGAAUAAACUAGAUGAGACCAAUGGGGAGAGAGAAGGGGGAGGGGCAAGAUCAGGCUAUGGGAUUAAGACCUACAAACGACUAUGAAUAAAGUAAAUAAGCUACCAGGAUAUAUUGUACAGCACAUGGAAUAUAGCCUAUACUUUGUAAUGACUUUAAAUAGAGUAUAAUCUGUAAAAAUAAGAAAUCACAAAAAGAACUUGAGAACAAAAAAUCAAUAAAUUAUUGAAUGGGAAAAGGCUCUAACUUGUGCUCAGUUCUACAAACAUAGAGUCCUGCCAUUGCUGUUUACCCUUUCCAAUCCUAAUCCUUAACUUGCUUGACCAAAAAAAGUCUCGAUAGCUCUCUUCUCUUCUCCGCCAUCCUAUGUGCAGUUGAAUUAGUUCUUUGCCAUGUCUUCUCACGAGACUUUCAAGAUCAAGCGAUUCCUGGCCAAGAAGCAAAAGCAGAAUCGUCCCAUCCCCAAUGGAUUUGAAUGAAAACUGGUAAUAAAAUCAGGCACAACUCGAACAGAAGCCAUUGGAGAAGAACGAAGCUGGGUUUGUAAGGAGCCUCCGCACAUGAGGUGGUGCAUGUGUUUGUGCUGCAUGGCGGUCACGUCCUUGCAUCUUCCCAUAUCGCACUGAAAACAGCACAGCUACAGCUGGAUGUAUCAGGAAAUGGGUUCUCUUUAUGUUGUUGUUUCUGUAUAGCGCUUUGCCUCAGGAAUAAAUAUGUGAAGGCCAAAAAGAAAAAAAAAGUCUCAAUAAUCUGAUCUUUUUUUAGCAAGAGCAAGGUUGAAUUACAGCUGGAUGUUUCAUUGUCUCAUAGGGAAGAAGUUUUCCCACAAGAGCAAAGACUACAUCACCCUCACUCCCACCAAAGAGAGGCAGCAUGGGAAGCACAAAACUCCUUCCCAGGAGGGUGCAGAGAAAGCAGGGAGGGGCGAGGAAAUCCCCUUAGGCUCUCCUUAUACUGUGUGAACACAGUCUCUCCAAGUCCAGGGCUAAUGGCCUAGCACUUUAUCCCCUGGGAAAAAUAUUAGCCCUUAGCAAAUGAAUAGACCUUGAAGUUUUCCUUCAGGGAAACAGGUACUAUUCAAAUCUCUGCAACAGCCGAAUGCUAAUGUACAGCCACAGCAGGAGCAGUGAAGGUACACUGCAUGCAUGAUAUUGGCCCCUAAUUAAUCAAACUACUUCCAGGCCUGUCCACAGCCAAUGGAUUAUCUCUAAUUUAGUUCAGUGCCACAUGGAAGUGUAUAUUUCUGCUAUGAAUAGAGCUCUAGAGGUUUAUGGAUUCUAAAGGCUGGAAGAUGUCUUAGGGCCACUGAGCCCAAAAGCCAGUUCCAUGCACAUCCAUGAUUCUGUCCUCAAUACAUGGCCAAGCUGAAGGUCUUGACCUUCCUAGAUGAGGUCCCCUCGCACAAGGAUGGGCAGGCCGAGGCUGAGCUCCUGGUUGAUCUGCUCAGUGGGGCUCUGAGGGAAGAGAGGAGAGCCUAAUGCAACAGCAAUGAUGUGGCCAAGGUGCAUCAUUAGAAUCAAGACAGGAUGCUGGGGGCAAAGGAGAAUUUGGGUGAAGAUUUUUAAUGAGAAUUAUGCAGAGACAAGGGGAGAGAGUGUGGACAGAUCAUCCCACACAUGGGGCCAAGAUUCCUUUUGGAUGCACACUCAUGGGUUCUGGAGUGAAAUCACAAGCCAGGUUGAGGUCUUCAGGGGUACGAACCACCACCAAACAAUGAGAACUGAAGAGGAUGGUGAAAUGUCAUCUAAAGAUAUUGACUGAUGAAUUGGGAGUCAGCAGCCCUGGGCUCCAGGUCUGACCUCUGGGGAAGCAGAAUGAAGAGACUGCAGAGUUGUUAAAGCAUUUCCAGUGUUGCAGGUACUCAGUAGUCACAGGGCUGAGGGAUUUUCUGUUAAAGCUGGCAUGGUUGGCAUUUCCCAUCCUGAUCAAGAAGGUUCGUGCACAGCAGUCCCCAGACCCCCGAUGGCUGUGAUAAGUAAAUGUUUUACAGCAUGAAUGUCCUAGAGAGGAGACUUCUAAUAGGAAAUGGCAAGAGAUCCUCCUAGGAGAAUGUCUUUCUCACAAACCUCCUAAGAAUCAUUCUAAAUGUCACCACACAUAAACCCAAUUGAUCAUUUCUUAGGAAUUGUGCCUCUCAGAGCUCCCUCUGAAUGCAGCCCUAGGGGGUGCUCUGAAAUCCAUCACUGAGUUGUGUGGAGGCCACAC
This 6615-nucleotide long non-coding RNA is filed under the name Sus scrofa (pig). RNAcentral describes it as "lncRNA (ENSSSCG00030030217.1)". The record is from RNAcentral. Lineage: Eukaryota; Metazoa; Chordata; Mammalia; Artiodactyla; Suidae.